GCCAGGCGUGGUGGUGCAUGCCUGUAGUCCCAGCUACUUAGGAGGCUGAGAUGGGAGGACCUCUUGAGCCCAGGAGGUCGAGGCUGCAGUGAGCCACUGCACUCCAGCCUGGGCAACAGAGAGAGACCCUGACUCAA
Molecule: unclassified non-coding RNA, 137 nt
Organism: Macaca fascicularis (crab-eating macaque)
Lineage: Eukaryota; Metazoa; Chordata; Mammalia; Primates; Cercopithecidae
Rfam family: Metazoan signal recognition particle RNA
About the family: The signal recognition particle (SRP) is a universally conserved ribonucleoprotein.
Source: Ensembl